Molecule: long non-coding RNA, 1010 nt
Organism: Spodoptera frugiperda (fall armyworm)
Lineage: Eukaryota; Metazoa; Arthropoda; Insecta; Lepidoptera; Noctuidae
Exons: 4
Source: RefSeq, a predicted model, not a curated record
CAAUAUAGUCUAUUGGUGUGGAUGACAUUGACAUUCGUAUUGCGCGUUUUUUAAAAUAUGCAAAAUUAAAUGUAUAUUUUUCAAUAUUUCUGAGAGAUUAUCUUAAUAUUUCUUCGAGUUUUAAAGACUAAGAAGAUUUUUAUUUGCUAAUAAGUGUUUGUUAAUCAAGUUGGAAUUUCGUUUUUAACAAUGCUACCAACCAGACGUACAAGCUUAGGCCGCAGAACUCGAAAUACGGCAAGUCAAAGAAAUAUAAGAGCAAAUCAAACUGAUGAGCAUCGCGAAGCGCGAAAUGAACUUGAACUGAAUCGAUAUCAAGAUAGAAAUGUUGUGUUUAAUCCCCACAAAGCUGCAUUCAGUUAUAAUGUGGCAAUUGAUUACAGUUCAGAGCAAAUUGUUGCUAUUGGACUAAUGAACAUUGUGUGUCCACAUUGGGAUUGAAAUUAAAAAAUGAAGCCUCUGGAUUGUGUUGCGCCAGCGCGGCCAAGUCAAAUUGACGCCAUUGGUACCGCCACCAGAGCCACUACAUUCAUUGGUUCAUUUUUUGACUCAUAUCCAGCAGUACAAUAAUUGCUUUCAAAUGACAUCAUUUGGGGCAACAAAAGUUAUACGAGACAAUUUUUUGGCUACUUUUAGCAAAUUCAGGGAUUCAAAUAUAUCAUCAAACAGGUUCCUUAUUGCCAGUGCCUGUUGAAGACUAUACAUUUUUGCAAAUAUAUUUUAUGGACAAUUCAGCAAGAGAAGUCGAUCAGCGUUGCGCGCACCACAACUCAGUAAAGAGAUCCAUUGUGAUGAACAACUUCAAACAUUUUUCCUUCAACACAAUGAAUUAGUUGCAUUAGACCGAUGCAUUAGACAUUCACAAAUGCAUUAGACCGCAUGCCAUCAGAUAAUCACAAAAUUGGCAUCAGAGCCGAUAAGGCGCCUGCAGGACAGUGAAAUGAUUGAAUCCUAUGAAAUAAACACUAUUAUGAAAAUAUAUUUUGUUUUUUUUUUUAAAUUAGUAAAGU